Non-coding RNA from Felis catus (domestic cat), 85 nucleotides. The record is from Rfam. Lineage: Eukaryota; Metazoa; Chordata; Mammalia; Carnivora; Felidae.
GCCUGGGGGGCUCAGUCCGUUGAGCACCUGACUUCGGCUCAGGUCAUGAGCUUGCAGUUUGUGGGUUCGAGCCCCACGUCAGGCU